Molecule: ribosomal RNA, 254 nt
Filed under: uncultured bacterium
Lineage: Bacteria
Description: partial 16S ribosomal RNA
Rfam family: Bacterial small subunit ribosomal RNA
Source: RNAcentral
UACGAAGGGGGCGAGCGUUGUUCGGAUUUACUGGGCGUAAAGGGCGCGCAGGCGGCGAUCUUUGUCAGGCGUGAAAGCCCCGGGCUUAACCUGGGAACUGCGCUUGGGACGGGAUUGCUGGAGACCGGGAGAGGAGAGUGGAAUUCCCAGUGUAGCGGUGAAAUGCGUAGAUAGUUGGGAGGAACACCAGUGGCGAAGGCGGCUCACUGGACCGGUACUGACGCUGAGGAGCGAAAGCGUGGGGAGCAAACAGG